GCGGGUGUAGCUCAAUGGCAGAGCAGAAGAUUUCCAAUCUUAUGACGAGGGUUCGAUUCCCUUCACCCGCUCCA
Molecule: transfer RNA, 74 nt
Filed under: Paracoccaceae bacterium Fryx2
Lineage: Bacteria; Pseudomonadati; Pseudomonadota; Alphaproteobacteria; Rhodobacterales; Paracoccaceae
Description: tRNA-Gly
Rfam family: tRNA
About the family: Transfer RNA (tRNA) molecules are approximately 80 nucleotides in length.
Source: RNAcentral